UACGGAGGGUGCGAGCGUUGUCCGGAAUUAUUGGGCGUAAAGAGCUUGUAGGCGGUUUGUCGCGUCUGCUGUGAAAUUCCAGGGCUUAACCCUGGGCUUGCAGUGGGUACGGGCAGACUAGAGUGUGGUAGGGGAGACUGGAAUUCCUGGUGUAGCGGUGAAAUGCGCAGAUAUCAGGAGGAACACCGGUGGCGAAGGCGGGUCUCUGGGCCGAAAUUGACGCUGAGGAGCGAAAGCGUGGGGAGCAAACAGG
Molecule: ribosomal RNA, 253 nt
Filed under: uncultured bacterium
Lineage: Bacteria
Description: partial 16S ribosomal RNA
Rfam family: Bacterial small subunit ribosomal RNA
Source: RNAcentral